Molecule: non-coding RNA, 387 nt
Organism: Pelobates cultripes (western spadefoot toad)
Lineage: Eukaryota; Metazoa; Chordata; Amphibia; Anura; Pelobatidae
Source: the annotation of a GenBank genome assembly
CCUCUGUAGAUAAAGUUACACAUGCAGAUACUCCCUCUAGAAAGGGUAUAUAAACCAAAGCAGAAUGGGCUGAGGGACCCAGCUCAACCUCCAGCAGACAACUCUUCUGUUCUAGAACUCUCACCAUCUCUGCAGAACCAAAAUGAGCUUCUCAAGCCGCAGCGCUUCCCAGUACUCCCGUUUUGGAGUGGCAUCACCUAUGGUGCACAGAGCCGGCAGUAUAGCUGGAGGCGCUGGGAGUUACAGAAUUUCCUCCUCUAAUGCCCCUUUAGUUAGCUCGGGCAUUGCCGCAGGAUUUAAUGCUCAUGAGAGUAUCGGCUUCCAGAACAAUGGCAAAGAGACCAUGCAGAACUUGAAUGAUCGAUUGGCCACUUACCUGGACAGAGU